UGAUAAUGUUCAAUGAAUGUGUGUUCAGGGAGAAACAGAUAAGGCAGUCAUUCGCUGAAAUUAGUUUUCACACAACAGAACCUCAGUGGUCAAGGAAUUAAUAAUUCAUCAGGAUCCAUUUAUUUAGCCACCAUUUGAUGGAACUGAGGUUAUCUGUCUCAUACACAAGAUUAUAUAUUGCUGGAAUUAGGCCUGCAGGAGGAAUUGUGUAUCUAUAUACAGUACUUGCUCAUUAAC
This is a long non-coding RNA of Populus trichocarpa (black cottonwood), 237 nucleotides long. RefSeq lists it as uncharacterized. NCBI's taxonomy places the organism in Eukaryota, Viridiplantae, Streptophyta, Magnoliopsida, Malpighiales, Salicaceae. The record is from RefSeq and is a predicted model, not a curated record. The transcript is spliced from 2 exons.